GGUGGUGGUGGCUGGUUAUGAUGGGAAUUUUAAGGUGUGUGAGUCAGCACUGUAAGGAUAUUCUUUAAAAAACUUUGUGAAAGAAAGGCUACAUUGAGGAUAUUGCUAGAAAGAUCAGUUGUAGCAUCAAGGAAACAGCCUUUAAGUCAGUUACACCUGUGUAUCUUUGAAGAUAUGGAGCUCAAACCUGGGAGAAGAGGUUGCAGAUUUUGAGAAGGGAAUGGAUAGAUAGAAGAACUAGAUCCCCUAAAAGAUGGCAGACAGUAGACAAGAUUAAAGUAAAAGACAAAAUAUAUCUUGAGUAUUUUGUCAGAAGAACAGACUUAUCCCUGCUUGUUGAACAUAAUAGGACUGGAAAGAGCUUUUAUAACUGGGCUCUGGUCAACCAUGGCAGGUAAGAAAGAUUUGGUG
RNAcentral lists this long non-coding RNA (411 nucleotides) under Canis lupus familiaris (dog). Its description in RNAcentral is "lncRNA (ENSCAFG00040000219.1)". The record is from RNAcentral. Lineage: Eukaryota; Metazoa; Chordata; Mammalia; Carnivora; Canidae.